CCUUCGGGUUAGUGGCGGACGGGCUGAGUAACGCGUGGGAAUCUGCCCUCAGGAGGGGGAUAACGGCUGGAAACGGCCGCUAAUACCCCAUAUGCCGAGAGGUGAAAUGAAAUUCGCCUGAGGAUGAGCCCGCGUCUGAUUAGCUAGUUGGUGGGGUAAGAGCCUACCAAGGCGACGAUCAGUAGCUGGUCUGAGAGGAUGAUCAGCCACACUGGGACUGAGACACGGCCCAGACUCCUACGGGAGGCAGCAGUGGGGAAUUUUCCGCAA
This 270-nucleotide ribosomal RNA is filed under the name uncultured cyanobacterium. RNAcentral describes it as "partial 16S ribosomal RNA". It matches the Rfam family "Bacterial small subunit ribosomal RNA", at positions 84 to 371 of the family's 1533-position model. The record is from RNAcentral. Lineage: Bacteria; Bacillati; Cyanobacteriota.